This 203-nucleotide long non-coding RNA is filed under the name Olea europaea (common olive). Its description in RNAcentral is "long non-coding RNA (OEUR_LNC011488)". Lineage: Eukaryota; Viridiplantae; Streptophyta; Magnoliopsida; Lamiales; Oleaceae. The record is from RNAcentral.
UCAAUAUUAUCUUGGUCUUUUGGUUUGUCUAAUAUUCUUGUUUCUUCAAUUUCUUGGAUUUUUUCAAUUUGAUUGGAUGGUGGUGGUUAUAUAAAUGAACUGUGCUAGACUUUUUUUCUUGAUCAAAGAUUUGACAUUUUAUUAUGGGGUUCUGUGAGCUAUCUAUACAUUUGUCAAGAAAAUGAAACUCUGCUGCUUCUCUU